This 467-nucleotide ribosomal RNA is filed under the name uncultured bacterium. RNAcentral describes it as "bacterial SSU rRNA". It matches the Rfam family "Bacterial small subunit ribosomal RNA", at positions 29 to 506 of the family's 1533-position model. The record is from RNAcentral.
AUGAACGUUGGCGGCGUGGAUUAGGCAUGCAAGUCGAGCGGGCGUAGCAAUACGCCAGCGGCGCAAGGGUGAGUAAGGCGACGGCAACCAACCCCGAGGAUGGGUAUAGCCGCGGGAAACUGCGGGCAAUCCCCAGCGAUGCGAGGGCGUCGGCAUCGACGCUUCGCCAAAAGGAUCCGUCCGCCUCGGGACGGGCCGUCGUGGUAUUAGGUAGUUGGCGGGGUAGCGGCCCACCAAGCCUUCGAUGCCUACCGGGCGUGCGAGCGCGGCCCGGCACACUGGGACUGAGACACUGCCCAGACUCCUACGGGAGGCUGCAGUCGAGAAUCUUCGGCAAUGGGCGCAAGCCUGACCGAGCGACGCCGCGUGGAGGACGAAGGCCUUCGGGUUGUAAACUCCUGUCGAGGGGGAGAAAGGCAUCGCAAGGUGCUUGAUCGAUCCCUGGAGGAAGCACGGGCUAAGUUCGU